This is a long non-coding RNA of Drosophila pseudoobscura, 688 nucleotides long. RefSeq lists it as uncharacterized. NCBI's taxonomy places the organism in Eukaryota, Metazoa, Arthropoda, Insecta, Diptera, Drosophilidae. The transcript is spliced from 3 exons. The record is from RefSeq and is a predicted model, not a curated record.
CUAAUUCGAAAGUAUAGUGAAAUUUGGAACCAUCUGUACAUGAAUAGUGAACAACUGAGUGAGCAAGUCAGCAACUGAACAAGUGACUCACUUACUAAAAAAGAACAAGUGAACAUGUUCACCAAAAUGAGCAAUGUUUACCCAACACUACUUUGCAUUUGCUAUUUGCAAUCGACUAAUUGUGCGCAAACGAAGUGAAAUUAAUUGCUGUGAUUAAUUUUACUAUCAGGCCACCGGCGAACGGAGGUUCAACGGACAGGUGAUGAGCAACCUGCUUUUGAAGAUCGCUCGAGGCUGAGUGGCAUCAACCAAACGCUGAAGAGAGAAUUUCGACCGCUUCGUGUCCUACAAUAGCCGCCUCCGCAACUCCAAUGAAAAUUGUAUAUAUAUGCAUAUGCUUUUUGUUGAAGCGGGAGCGGCCGGUGUACGGAACAACACGUAAAAUCCUCAAUCCCCAAGUGAAGAAUCAAACCGCUUUCGCAACUCCAAAAAAAUUGAAAAUCGCAGUCGCGCCGCCGCAGGUCUGCCUUGCAAGAGUGAGAUAGAUGUAUCGUCUGUCGCUGUAUGUGUGUGUUUUGCAUGCGCCUGCUUCUGCGUACAAAAAAAAUACGUCAGCCGACAGCGCAGCCGCAGCUGUUGUCUCUCUGUCUCUCGCUCUCUCUCUGCUUUUGCAAGGUAGCAGAAAAGG